GUCAGCCACCCUGCGAGUACGCGGUUCGCACCCGGCCGCGCGGCAGCCCGUGCUUGCGCACUGCUCUGUGCCCGCGCCUAUGUCCAGCAGGGGGCGCGCAGCGGCGGUAGCCGAGCGAGGGCGCGGUGGCCUCUGACAGGAAUGACUCUGCGCACGUGCGUUUCGCAGCAGUGGAAGUCUUCACACCCGGAAACUCGACUUUGGCCGUUUCUCCAUUUCUCCUCACGCACUGUCUUUCCUUGGGCCCUCGUCACUCCUGGCACCGGGGGAAGGGCUUCCCCGCCUCUGGCCGGGCGCUGGGGCGCGACCGAAGGCGAGGCGGCGGCGAGGAACCUUCUGGAAUUCGGCCGUCGGGGCAGGCGUCGAGUUUACAGGAGAAGGCGCGGUGUCCCGGGAUGAGCGGAGUCGCCCUCACUUAAGGAGCGAGGGAGGCCUCGGGGGUCCCCAGCCGGUGAUGAGCCCUCCUCUUCAGCUAGGAAAAUGACGGUGUUCAGAAAGUUAAAACUUCUUCGCUGGAAGGAUUUCAUCUUAAAGUUGUUUUAGGCUGUUCUUCAGUGUCUUUGUUUGAACGUUAUAUAAUUGAUGAUCCCAAAGCUUUCUACAUAUUGGCAGGAAUUGUUUUUGACCACAGCGUCAAUGACAGCAAUGGAUCUUUGCCACUUGCGGUUAAGUAUCAAUUGCGCUUCAGUUACUUUCAGAAGAAUUUUAUACUGGGGAAGAAUAUAUUUUUUCAAGAUGACAUAGAAGGCUGGUGCACAUCCUUUCUUUACCCUCCCAAUCCACGCCAAGAACCCCGGGAAUUUCCAUUUGCUGUUGGGGGAAGUCCUGGAUACAACAAAGAAGGCUUCCUGGCCAUACAGUAUGCUGUGGAUAAAGCCAUCAUGUGGUACCAUGCUCACAAUGCAAUGACCAACAUGUUUGAGAAUCUCAAUGUACUUGUGAAGAGAUUCCCAUAUGGACCCUAUAUCGAGGACAGGUUCUUCCUAGUCCUUCAGAAUGAGUUUUCUGUGUUCUUCAUACUCAGCUUCAUGUACAUUGAGCUCAUCAUCAUCAGUUCCAUUGUACUGGAGAAAGAGAAAAGACUGAAGGAUUACCUGUGCGUGAUGGGACUGGAAAGCUGGUUACACUGGGUUGCUUGGUUCAUCACGUUCUUCAUUUCUGUCUUCAUUGCUGUUUCUUUCAUGACCAUUCUCUUCUGCACAGAGGUCUUAUUCCCCCUACAAGUGGAUGUGCAUAUGUCAAUGGAUAUGAAAUUUCACAAGAGAUAUUUCACAUUAGGAAGAGCCUGGGCUGGUGCCCCAACAUGAUGUCUUAUCUGAUAAGUUAACAGUAGCAGAACAUCUUUCUUUCUAUGGUCAGCUGAAGGGCCUGUCACGUCAGAAGUGCCCUGAAGUCAAGCAGGUGCUGCACAUCAUAGGCCUGGAGGACAAGUGGAACUCACGGAGCCGCUUCCUGAGCGGGGGCAUGAGCCGCAAGCUCUCCAUCGGCAUCGCCCUCAUCGCAGGCUCCAAGGUUUGAAUCUCUAUUUACUGACUUGGAACUGAGGCAGGUAGAGCUGGGCAUCUCCAGCUUUGGGGCCUCUGUCAUGACCAUGGAGGAUGUCUUCAUAAGGGUUUGUAUGUUGGCAGAUGCCAGUACAGCUGUCCCAAACAUCAAACAUCCCUCUAUCCAUCCCCAGCCCUGCUUAGCAGAAUUCCUGUUGACAGAAUUAAACAUCUUCAUUCGAGGACCUUCUCAAUACGGACUGGGCUGCCAAUCAAACCAAACACUGGGUUCAGUCUUCUCUGCCAACAAUUUUAUGCCAUGCUCCUGAAAAAGGUCACAUAUUCUUAACACAACUGGAUGUUGAUGUUAUCAAUACAGAUCCUGGUCCCUCUGGUGAUCAUCAUGUUAAGCCUCACAUUCUUCAACUUCAAAGAAAGAAGCAUAGAAAAUGUCCCAUUGGAGCUGACUCUGAAAACAUAUGGUCAGACCAUUGUUCCUUUCUUUAUUUCUCAGAAUUCCAGGCUGGAUCCUCAACUUUCAGAACGCUUUGCAAAUAUGUUUAUGGUUGAGGGACAGAUUCCUCUGGAGGUCCUAGGUUCUGUAGAUGAGUUCCUAUUGAAAAAGGCAAAAGAGGAGCCUGAGGACUUUGAUAAGCUCUACUUAGUGGCAGCUUCCUUUGAAGACGUGGGAAAUCACACCAUAGUGACAGCGCUGUUCAACAACCAGGCAUACCAUUCUUCUGCCCUGGCUCUGGCGCUAUUGGACAAUUUUCUCUUGAAGUUGCUUUCUGGUGCCAGGGCUUCCAUUACCGCAGCCAACCACCCUCAACCUCAGCCAGCCAGGGAGGAUUCAGAGAAUUUCCUGUAUCAGGAACCUAAAGGACAUUACCUUGUUAUCAACUUGCUUUUUGGAUUAGCUUUCCUGUCUAGCUCUUUUUCCAUGUUGACAGUCAGAGAGAGGCGCGUUAAGGCCAAGCUUGUCCAGUUUAUCAAUGGAGUUUAUGUGGCCACUUUCUGGCUCUCCACUCUGCUAUGGGACCUCAUCUCCUUCCUCAUUCCCAGUCUGCUGCUGGUGGUAUGGCGGUGGAUUGGUUACUGUCCUCAGUUUGAUGCUCUGCUGAACUUCAUGACAGGCCAUGAGAUGCUGGUCAUGUAUGCCCAGAUCGGGGGCAUCCCAGAGCACCCCAUCAGUGCUUGUGUGGACCAGAUUCUUGAGGAUUUAGUCAUGUACAUGUACGCCAACAAGCUGGUCAAGACCUACAGCAUGGAGGAGUGUGAGGCCCUGUGCAGCCGGCGGCCAUCAUGGUGCAGGGGCAGUUCAAGUGCCUGGGCAGCCCCCAGCACCUCAAGAGCAAGUUCAGCAGUGGCUACUCCCUGCGGGCCAAGGUGCAGAGUGAAGGGCAGCAGGAGGUGCUGGAGGAGUUCAAGGCCUUCGUGGACCUGACCUUUCCAGGCAGCGUUCUUGAAGACAAGCACCAAGGCAUGGUCCAUUACCAUCUGCUGGGCCGCGACCUCAGCUGGGCGAAGUUGAGCGCACAUUUUUGACGUGACCCACUUUCUGGGGUGUUUGGCACUCUGGAGCAAGCCAAGAAGUACAUGCUGGACAACUACUCAGCAGUCAGGUCACCAUGGAGGACGUCUUCCUGAGCUUCGCAUGCCCUGUGCCCCUGGUCCAAAGCGAAGACCAACGAGAGCAAGCAGAGCAGGUGGGCUCCUCAUCGUGCUCGCUGCCUCCUUCCCUGCCUCCCUCUCGGCUUUCCUCUCAGUCUCCCUCCCUGCCUCCCUCUCAGCUUUUCUCUCGGCCUCCCUCCCUGCCUCCUCCCUCAGAGCCUGUCCUGCUGUAAUAAGGACAGACCAGUGCCAGGUUGGCCCAGGUGUGCAUGGCCUUCCCUGGGUUUCCAGGGCGUACAGAGGCAGCUCUCGACCUAGCUAGCUCAGCACAGGGCUGUCCCCCUAACUGCAGUGCACGGAGCAGAGUGGGGCCCACUGGAGAACUUAAGAGGCCCGCUGGAGAACCCAGGUGCGUUUCCUUAGAAAGGGAUGCCCAAGUCCCACCUGAGUAGCCUGUGGUCUUAUUGAGACCUGGCUGUGGAAGCAGCCUCAGAACAUCUUGCAUGUCCUUUCCAAGGGCGGUGGCCAUGGGGUGACUACAGUACUAACCAUGACCCGACCAGGUGCCAACUCUGUGGUUGGUCCCCUGCAGGCAUUGCGUCAUUUGAUCACAUCACCCUCAGGCCCGGCCUUAAGGGGUCUGUCCUGGUCAUCCCCUUGCUCAUGGGCAAGAAGUCUGCAGGGCAGAGGGAAAUGCUCACCCAAAGCUUGCGCUCUUCCUUCUCUAGAAUCCCCUGCCCAGAUGGUUUGUCCAUCCAGUGCACUCCCUCCCAGGGCAGGCCAUGCCGCCCAACGCACCCUGAGAUGCGAGAUGCAGCAAAGCAGUGGCUCUGCAGAACUUCGGGUAGAGUUUGGAUGGGUGCGUGGAGGUUUCCACACAUGUGUGCAGAUCCCUUGGAAAGCAGGAUAGAGCCAGAAACAGAGAGGAGGGUGCCCGUAGGCCGCUGGGGGCUGGCUCCCAUGGUCACAUGCAAGAGUGAAGCUUCAUGGAGACCAUGAUUCUAAACUCACACCUGGCCUCACAGGUGGUAAUGUCACUGUUCUUCUGAAGGAAGGAGGAAAUAAAUAUUGACAAGUUUGCUAGCCUAAGUCG
Homo sapiens (human) is the source of this 4188-nucleotide RNA transcript. It is a transcript of the gene named ATP binding cassette subfamily A member 17, pseudogene, with no coding region annotated. The record is from RefSeq and is marked provisional. Lineage: Eukaryota; Metazoa; Chordata; Mammalia; Primates; Hominidae. The transcript has 17 exons.